Small nucleolar RNA from Erpetoichthys calabaricus (reedfish), 222 nucleotides. Its record names the gene SNORA73. It matches the Rfam family "Small nucleolar RNA SNORA73 family". Rfam says of the family: U17 (SNORA73A and SNORA73B) also known as E1 belongs to the H/ACA class of small nucleolar RNAs (snoRNAs). Vertebrate U17 is intron-encoded and ranges in length from 200-230 nucleotides, longer than most snoRNAs. NCBI's taxonomy places the organism in Eukaryota, Metazoa, Chordata, Cladistia, Polypteriformes, Polypteridae. The record is from Ensembl.
CCAAUGUGGACACCCUCUGAGGUUGCUCUCAUGAGGCUCUGUUCAUGUGGCAUAUAGGAGCAUAGCACAUUUGUGCCAUGAUGUAUAAUCCCAUUCCAUGACAUUGGAGAGUAAGCUUGUCCCCUGCCCUUUGGGCAGUUGUGGAUAGCAUCCUGUAUAUUCCUACAUCUUCCCAGAGUCCUUGGACAAUUACUGGGGAGGUAAACCAUGCAGGUUACAUGU